RNAcentral lists this small RNA (570 nucleotides) under Pan troglodytes (chimpanzee). Its description in RNAcentral is "retained intron". The record is from RNAcentral. Lineage: Eukaryota; Metazoa; Chordata; Mammalia; Primates; Hominidae.
AACGUGCUCCUGUCCAGCGAUGGGAGCCAUGCAGCCCUCUGUGACUUUGGCCAUGCUGUGUGUCUUCAACCUGAUGGCCUGGGAAAGUCCUUGCUCACAGGGGAUUACAUCCCUGGCACAGAGACCCACAUGGCUCCGGAGGUGGUGCUGGGCAGGCGCUGCGACGCCAAGGUGGACGUCUGGAGCAGCUGCUGUAUGAUGCUGCACAUGCUCAACGGCUGCCACCCCUGGACUCAGUUCUUCCGAGGGCCGCUCUGCCUCAAGGUCGGUGACGGCACCCAGCAUGGCCAACAGGGGGAGCUGCAGGGCCCUGGGGCCCAGGCCGCAGGCUGGAGGGGCUGCUCUGCGGUGGCAGAUGGAGCAAGGGGAGGCCUGGUCAUCCAUGUGGGAUCCUAAUUCAAAUACUUGCCACCCAAAUCUGGGGGUACAAGGGGAGAUCCAGCUGCGGAGGCUCACCAAGUUCAUGGCAGGUGAGAACUCUCUUCUGUCCAUACCCUGGGCCCCAUCCACCUGCCUCCUAACGGGCCGGGCCUGGAGGCUGUGGGCGUCUUGCUGCCUGGCUCUGGCCUG